This 479-nucleotide ribosomal RNA is filed under the name uncultured bacterium. RNAcentral's name for it is "partial 16S ribosomal RNA". It matches the Rfam family "Bacterial small subunit ribosomal RNA", at positions 28 to 507 of the family's 1533-position model. The record is from RNAcentral.
GAUGAACGCUAGCGGGAGGCCUAACACAUGCAAGCCGGGCGGUAGAGUUUCUUCGGAAACUUGAGAGCGGCGCACGGGUGCGUAACACGUGUGCAACCUACCUUUAUCUGGGGGAUAGCCUUUCGAAAGGAAGAUUAAUACCCCAUAAUAUAAUGAUUGGCAUCAAUUAUUAUUGAAAACUCCGGUGGAUAGAGAUGGGCACGCGCAAGAUUAGAUAGUUGGUGAGGUAACGGCUCACCAAGUCAAUGAUCUUUAGGGGUCCUGAGAGGGAGAUCCCCCACACUGGUACUGAGACACGGACCAGACUCCUACGGGAGGCAGCAGUGAGGAAUAUUGGACAAUGGGUGAGAGCCUGAUCUAGCCAUCCCGCGUGAAGGAUGACGGUCCUAUGGAUUGUAAACUUCUUUUGUACAGGGAUAAACCUACCCUCGUGAGGGUAGCUGAAGGUACUGUACGAAUAAGCACCGGCUAACUCCGUG